Molecule: ribosomal RNA, 403 nt
Filed under: bacterium
Lineage: Bacteria
Description: partial 16S ribosomal RNA
Rfam family: Bacterial small subunit ribosomal RNA
Source: RNAcentral
UGGGGAAUAUUGCACAAUGGGGGAAACCCUGAUGCAGCGACGCCGCGUGAACGAAGAAGGUAUUCGUAUCGUAAAGUUCUGUCCUAUGGGAAGAUAAUGACAGUACCAUAGAAGAAAGCUCCGGCUAAAUACGUGCCAGCAGCCGCGGUAAUACGUAUGGAGCGAGCGUUGUCCGGAAUUAUUGGGCGUAAAGGGUACGCAGGCGGUUUAAUAAGUCGAAUGUUAAAGAUCGGGGCUCAACCCCGUAAAGCAUUGGAAACUGAUAAACUUGAGUAGUGGAGAGGGAAGUGGAAUUCCUAGUGUAGUGGUGAAAUACGUAGAUAUUAGGAGGAAUACCAGUAGCGAAGGCGACUUUCUGGGCACAAACUGACGCUGAGGUACGAAAGCGUGGGGAGCAAACAGG